UACUAAUGGCCCGUGAGGCUUGACCAUAUAACACCCAAGCGGUCUGCCGAUGGCGACCGACAGCCGGAUACGACGAGACGACUCGUUCAGCAUGAUUCACCGUUUUUCGCCUGACGACCAUAGCGUGCGGGAACCACCUGAUCCCAUGCCGAACUCAGCAGUGAAACCGCUCAGCGCCGAUGGUAGUGUGGGGCCUCCCCAUGCGAGAGUAGGUCAUCGUCAGGC
Molecule: ribosomal RNA, 225 nt
Filed under: Halomonas ventosae
Lineage: Bacteria; Pseudomonadati; Pseudomonadota; Gammaproteobacteria; Oceanospirillales; Halomonadaceae
Source: RNAcentral